CUCUCCUACCUUCUGCUUCUGCCGGUGUUUGCUCUUUCCUCUGCCCGCGGACCGCCACAUCCAUCUCUCAGGCACUUCCACUGCUCACCCCCACUCAUCCCUUUCUCCUCCCCAGAACCCACAGUGGCUUAGGACGAGCUCCUGCACAGCGGCCUGUUUCCCAAUUGCAUCGUGUAUCUCUUUGCCUCUCUUGGCUCAGCCAUGGCCCCAGCCCCAGGCCAUCCAAGGGGCAGCCUGGUGAGGUUUCUUCAACUUUGCUAAUGACUUGACCUACAGUCUUAAGUCAAGAAGGUGUCGCUCUCCUUUGUGAUGGCUGGACGCACAGGAGCUGUGGUCAGGAUGGGGCUAGAGGAGCUGAAAUCCCAGGGCAACAAGGGUAUUUAAAAACACAUCGCAGGAGAAACAGCUAAAGAGUCUUGGAACCAGGAAUCAUAAGCUGUUUGAUGGGAUGAACUAUCUUGGGAGUGAUGAGGUCCCCAUCACUGAAAGUAUUCAAGCAGAGAGAGUCAUGGAAUUAGGAGACGGAAGAGCAUCAGACACUGAAUGAAGUCUGCACUACAUGAGAUGAAGAACCCUUCCAGCCCUGAGGCCGAGCAGCCACUUCUCUGGAGCAGGCUGGCCCAUCUAUGUCCAGGAGGCCAGCCCCAGGCUAGCUUCUGAGCACGGGGAGCUAAGUCCUUCGCCUUCCAGAGACUGCACAAAGUGUGUGCCACCUCCACAGAACCCUCCUCAUCCACCCGAGAACUCUUCCUCACCUGACCUAAAGCUCUUCAUUUCAUACCACCUUUCAAGCGAAUUAAGGAUUAAUUGCCAGCAGCAAUCUCUGUCUUUGUUUGUUUUCUCUAAUGGAAAACCUUUCUCUCGGGAGGGUAAGGUUAUCAGUCAUUCACAGCUCAGUUGUGCUGUGUUUGAUUAGACUGGACGGCAAAGCUGAGUCCUGUUUCGGCUCUGUGCGAUCCUGGGCCCCUUGGAGCCUGUUUUCUCAUCUAUGAAAUGGGAGUAAUAAUAGUGCUUAUUGCACAGUUGUUUUAAGAACUAAAAAUUUAAAUUGCCUAGAAUGUUAUACAAACAUAAGCUGCCAUAUUUUGGAAAAAUGAGCCAAGAUCAGUGGUGCCAAGGGAAGAAUGGGCAGAGGUGAGCUGUGGGCAGCCGUGGAGGAUGGUCCACGGUGUGGCUGCCAGAGGGCAUCGGGGGCCAGGCAACUCCAGAAAGGAGCUAGGAAUGUUAGAGAAAACUGCACUAACAGCCAGCAUGCGUGAAGAACUGAUUCAUACUACACCGUGGAUGAACCUCAAGAACAUUAUUCUCGGCAAAAGCAGACAGACACAAAAGGUCACAUAGCAAAUGCUUCCGUUGAUAUGAAAUGUCCAGCACUGGCAAAUCCACAGAGACAGAAAGUAGAUUAGUAAUAGCCAGCGGCUGCAGACAGGGAAGGAGGGGAGUGAUGACUUAAUGGGUACAGGGAUUUUAUUUUGGGGUAAUGAAGAUAUUUUGGAAUGAGACAGAGCUGGUGGCUGCAUAGAGCACUAUGAAAGUGCUAAUUGCCAUUGAAUUAUUCACUUCAAAACAGUUAAUUUAACGCUAUGUGAAUUUCACCUCAAUAAAAAAGGUACAAAAUAAAAAGCCUGUUUUCCUGGACCCAUGCUCUGUGGAGUGGGCAACCAGCAGGUAGAGACAAGAAGGAAAAUGGGAUGUCAUGACCCCACUUGAAGGCAAGGUCACUAAGGCUCAGAGAGGACCAG
Molecule: long non-coding RNA, 1742 nt
Filed under: Homo sapiens (human)
Lineage: Eukaryota; Metazoa; Chordata; Mammalia; Primates; Hominidae
Description: HSALNT0305417
Source: RNAcentral